This is a long non-coding RNA of Saccostrea cuccullata (small rock oyster), 864 nucleotides long. RefSeq lists it as uncharacterized. NCBI's taxonomy places the organism in Eukaryota, Metazoa, Mollusca, Bivalvia, Ostreida, Ostreidae. The record is from RefSeq and is a predicted model, not a curated record. The transcript is spliced from 3 exons.
CUCCCCCUUGCGCCGCUAGAGGCGCUGGUGUACUAUGAGGUAUUCUAAAUAAACAUGGCGUACGCUUCGUACACAGUGCCGAAACUGAAAAAAAGAAUUAAUAUUACGCGGCGCUGUAACUACGGGAAGGAAAACCGAUCUCAUAGAAAGGUUGGAAGCAUACGAACGGAAUUUCAAUUUUAGCGGUCCCGUCAUUAAACUGCCAGCAGAAAGGGAUGUAGAAUGGCCAGCUACUGGGUAUAAACAAAUGACAUCGGGCCAUUAUGACCUUUUGCCACACAUAACAGAAGCCCAUAUCGAAGGAUAUUUUCAAUAUAGACAAGCAGUCGACAGACAAAUGAUGGGCAAUACAAAGGCCAUUGUGAAAGGAAAAUUACUGCUGGAGUCAGAGAGAGUUGAAGCACUGAGCAUUUACUGUCAAGAUGAGGACUUUUUCCUUACAGGAUUUGUCAGAGCUUCAAUGAAGAAAAAGGUAGUUUUUUAUUUAAUAAAUGAACAAUAACAAAUUUAAAAUAGAAAUCAAUGUGUGUUUAUAGCGUAAAUGUAGAGCCAGUCAAAAUUAGUUCUUAUGUGGAUGAAAAUAUAUGGCUAUAUUUAACAGGUGUCUUACAAUUAUCGUAUAAGAAUUGACAGAAAAACAGGUGAAAUUAAAAAUUCAGACUGUGAAUGCCCUGCUGGGAAGGGCCCCAAUGGAACCUGUAAACAUGUAGCUGCUGUUAUUUUGCUCUUGGUGAAAUUUCGGGAAACACAUAUAAUAGCCAUUCCUAGGGGAUGUACGGAAAAUCUUCAGACUUUUCAUAAACCAAAAAAGUCUUUUAAAGUUGAGCUAACUGUGUUAAAAAAGUUUCUUCUUUCUUUUUUUUU